Molecule: long non-coding RNA, 658 nt
Filed under: Vulpes vulpes (red fox)
Lineage: Eukaryota; Metazoa; Chordata; Mammalia; Carnivora; Canidae
Description: lncRNA (ENSVVUG00000001824.1)
Source: RNAcentral
UAUCAAUCAGGUAACUUCUCAAGACAGGAAUAAACUUUCCUAAAUACCAAAUUCCAUUGCCCUAACAUUCUACUUCCAUUGUUUCAUCAAGUGGUCAAUUUCAUGGCCUAAGAGAGGUCAGGGAUUUUAACUGCUACUCUGUGGCAGAGUUUGGCAUCCAUUAUCAAGCCCUGCAUAACUCAAUCAAUAAAGUUCUAGACAACCAGGGCCCACUAGGGCUUGUGUGGAAAAAGGGAUGGAAUAGAUAAGAAGAUUCUAUGUAGAUGCAAGGAUCUUCACAACAUGAGGAGAAGCCUGAUGUGAGAAGCUGGUUAUAAGAAGGAGAUUUAUUCCACAAAAGAUGUUGUAUCACCUUGCUUUUUACAUUAAAAAUAACUAUGGGACUUGCUUGAUGAUAUUAAAAAGUAACCAAAUUGGAUGUUAUUCUUCAAGACCCGCAAGGUUUCAGCAUGUACUCUAUGUCCCCACAAAUUUGGAAGUGGAUUUUGUGAUUGAGCCUGUGAGACAUUGUGGUGAGGAUGUGAAAGAGAAAGUGGAGCAUCCAUCAAGGCAAAUGUUGGUUGCUUCUUCCUUUGUCUCUCCUACUACAAAGAACAGUAUGGUAGUUACUUAAAAACAAAGGAAUAAAGAGAAAUUAUGAGGGUUUUUGGUUUUUUUU